This 486-nucleotide ribosomal RNA is filed under the name uncultured bacterium. RNAcentral describes it as "partial 16S ribosomal RNA". It matches the Rfam family "Bacterial small subunit ribosomal RNA", at positions 30 to 507 of the family's 1533-position model. The record is from RNAcentral.
AUUGAACGCUGGCGGCAUGCCUUACACAUGCAAGUCGAACGGCAGCACGGGUGCUUGCACCUGGUGGCGAGUGGCGAACGGGUGAGUAAUACAUCGGAACAUGUCCUGUAGUGGGGGAUAGCCCGGCGAAAGCCGGAUUAAUACCGCAUACGAUCUACGGAUGAAAGCGGGGGACCUUCGGGCCUCGCGCUAUAGGGUUGGCCGAUAGCUGAUUAGCUAGUUGGUGGGGUAAAGGCCUACCAAGGCGACGAUCAGUAGCUGGUCUGAGAGGACGACCAGCCACACUGGGACUGAGACACGGCCCAGACUCCUACGGGAGGCAGCAGUGGGGAAUUUUGGACAAUGGGCGAAAGCCUGAUCCAGCAAUGCCGCGUGUGUCAAGAAGGCCUUCGGGUUGUAAAGCACUUUUGUCCGGAAAGAAAUCCUUGGCUCUAAUACAGUCGGGGGAUGACGGUACCGGAAGAAUAAGCACCGGCUAACUACGUG